This 253-nucleotide ribosomal RNA is filed under the name uncultured bacterium. RNAcentral's name for it is "partial 16S ribosomal RNA". It matches the Rfam family "Bacterial small subunit ribosomal RNA", at positions 524 to 776 of the family's 1533-position model. The record is from RNAcentral.
UACAGGGGGGGCAAGCGUUGUUCGGAAUUACUGGGCGUAAAGGGUUCGUAGGUGGCCAACUAAGUCAUACGUGAAAUCCCUCAGCUUAACUGGGGAACUGCGUCUGAUACUGGUUGGCUUGAGUGCAGGAGAGGAACGCGGAAUUCCAGGUGUAGCGGUGAAAUGCGUAGAUAUCUGGAGGAACACCGGUGGCGAAGGUGGCGUUCUGGACUGCAACUGACACUGAGGAACGAAAGCCAGGGGAGCAAACGGG